RNAcentral lists this ribosomal RNA (253 nucleotides) under uncultured bacterium. RNAcentral's name for it is "partial 16S ribosomal RNA". It matches the Rfam family "Bacterial small subunit ribosomal RNA", at positions 524 to 776 of the family's 1533-position model. The record is from RNAcentral.
UACGUAGGGGGCAAGCGUUGUCCGGAUUUAUUGGGUUUAAAGGGUGCGUAGGCGGCCCUGUAAGUCAGUUGUGAAAUACGGCAGCUUAACUGUCGAGGUGCAAUUGAUACUGCAGGGCUUGAGUACUGAUGAGGUAGGCGGAAUUGACGGUGUAGCGGUGAAAUGCUUAGAUAUCGUUAAGAACACCGAUAGCGAAGGCAGCUUACUGGGCUGUAACUGACGCUGAGGCACGAAAGUGUGGGGAUCAAACAGG